RNAcentral lists this microRNA precursor (56 nucleotides) under Heligmosomoides polygyrus. RNAcentral describes it as "microRNA hpo-mir-235 precursor". Its record names the gene hpo-mir-235. Lineage: Eukaryota; Metazoa; Nematoda; Chromadorea; Rhabditida; Heligmosomidae. The record is from miRBase by way of RNAcentral.
AGGCCUGGUCGUCUGCCAUGUUUGGCAACGCGAAUAUUGCACUCGCCCCGGCCUGA